GCCUUCGUGGUUAAUGGUCAGCACACUGAGCCGGUAUUUCAGAGGUCCGUGGUUCGAUCCCCGGCGAAGGCA
Stegodyphus mimosarum is the source of this 72-nucleotide non-coding RNA. The record is from Rfam. Lineage: Eukaryota; Metazoa; Arthropoda; Arachnida; Araneae; Eresidae.